RNAcentral lists this ribosomal RNA (274 nucleotides) under uncultured bacterium. Its description in RNAcentral is "partial 16S ribosomal RNA". It matches the Rfam family "Bacterial small subunit ribosomal RNA", at positions 523 to 796 of the family's 1533-position model. The record is from RNAcentral.
AUACGGAGGGUGCGAGCGUUAAUCGGAAUUACUGGGCGUAAAGCGUGCGUAGGCGGUUUGUUAAGCAAGAUGUGAAAGCCCAGGGCUCAACCUUGGAACUGCAUUUUGAACUGGCAAACUAGAGUACUGUAGAGGGUGGUGGAAUUUCCAGUGUAGCGGUGAAAUGCGUAGAGAUUGGAAGGAACAUCAGUGGCGAAGGCGGCCACCUGGACAGAUACUGACGCUGAGGCACGAAAGCGUGGGGAGCAAACAGGAUUAGAAACCCCAGUAGUCC